Molecule: ribosomal RNA, 512 nt
Filed under: uncultured bacterium
Lineage: Bacteria
Description: partial 16S ribosomal RNA
Rfam family: Bacterial small subunit ribosomal RNA
Source: RNAcentral
GACGAACGCUGGCGGCGUGCCUAAUACAUGCAAGUCGAGCGGAACUGGGGGAGCUUGCUCCUUCCAGUUUACGGGCGGACGGGUGAGUAACACGUGGGAAACCUGCCCUGCAGAUCGGGAUAACUCCGGGAAACCGGGGCUAAUACGGAAUAGUUUGCCGCCUCUCCUGAGGCGCUACGGAAAGCCGGUUUCGGCUGUCACUGCAGGAUGGGCCCGCGGCGCAUUAGCUAGUUGGUGGGGGAACGGCCCACCAAGGCGACGAUGCGUAGCCGACCUGAGAGGGUGACCGGCCACACUGGGACUGAGACACGGCCCAGACUCCUACGGGAGGCAGCAGUAGGGAAUCUUCCGCAAUGGACGCAAGUCUGACGGAGCAACGCCGCGUGAGUGACGAAGGUUUUCGGAUCGUAAAACUCUGUUGUGAGGGAAGAACACGUACCAACUAACUAUUGGUACCUUGACGGUACCUCACCAGAAAGCCACGGCUAACUACGUGCCAGCCGCCGCAGUAA